Molecule: long non-coding RNA, 2494 nt
Organism: Sapajus apella (tufted capuchin)
Lineage: Eukaryota; Metazoa; Chordata; Mammalia; Primates; Cebidae
Exons: 2
Source: RefSeq, a predicted model, not a curated record
AAUAAAUAAAUAAAACAAUAACCUCCGCGCCAAUAAGAGCGAGGGAGAGAGCAAGACGCGACCAGAGAGCCACCGGGGCCCGCUCGUGCGCCUCUGAGAGGCUGUCCGCGCGCGCGCGUUUGUGCGUGAGUGUGGAUUUGCCGGGACUGGAGCUGGAAAGUUCAAACUAAACGUGUUGCUCUCUCCGGGUGCCGAGGCCGCGGCGGAGGCUGCCCAACUUGCCCCGGCCAAGUGAGUGGCGUUGCCCAGCGCCCUUGGCGAGGCGGCAGCCGCUCGGCUCUGCGCCCGGGCGCGGCGGCGGCGACGACUCCGCUCGCCCCGGGAGGGAGCCCGCGGCCAGGGCUGGACGCUCGCCCCGCCACCUCCACCGGCUCUCUCCUCAGCCUCCGCGCCUGGCACCGCAGCAAGACUUGAAUGCAGUGAUCAUGUAAACUAGAGAAAGGGGAUUAAAAAUAACCUCUGGAUACUCUUCUUAUGUGAUUUUUAUUCUGGAUGAAGCAUUAGGACAGCUGAUAGACGUGUAUCACUGUAAGUAUUUUCUAACGAACUUAGAAUGUGUAUUUUUUUUGUUUAUGGAUAACAUAUGUUGUACACUUUCACAGAAUUUAAGAAUAAUAGAUGUAAUAUAGUAGCAAUAAUGGACAGAACACUACAAACUCCCAAAAUACUAAGUGACAAGAAUAGCAACAUGGAAAAGGAAAAUUAUUCCUAUUAUAGAAUCACCUAAUUAUUGAGUAAAUAUUUGAUAUAUAAACAAAAGCAAAAGAUUAAAUGAUAAUUAUUUAUGAUGCCAAAGUGAUCUUUGCUAGAAUAUACUUAGGAGUGUGACAGUUUUCUGAUGAGGAAUUAAAAUAGUUGUAAAGCUGUGCUAAGAAGAAUCAUAAUCUUACUAUGAGUAAGAAAUGUGAUAUGAGUUAUGGGAUUUGAAAAUAAAAGAAUGAGAUGCUUUUGCAAGCCAGGCUAUUUACAUUUUCGUGAUGUUUUGGAAUGUGUAGAAAUACCAGCAAUUACAGCACCAACUUCAAUUAAUAGAAUGUUCAAUCUGUAUCUAAUGAAGUUAUCAAGUACUCUGUACUCAUGGCAUCUAUCAUUUUAUCAUACAAAACCAUUGCAUUCAUAAAGAGAAAAAAACUCUUGUAAACUGACCUGAAACUUCGUCUCAUCAUACAAACGAAGAAAGAGGCUUCUCAUUUAACAUUCCGCAGCACUCUAAUGUAAUUCAGAGGUAAGUGCUAUUACCCUUGGUGAAGAGGUUGAAUUUGAUAGCCAUUUCACUGUUAGACUAAAGAUGGCCUAUUGUAUCUCUUAGAUUACAAUGUCUUUGAUACUGUGAAUGACAAGGAAACAUACAAUCUCAGGGGAAAAUUCAGACAGAGAAGGUAUUUAAUAGCAAAACCACCACUGGAGUAUCUUUAGAUUUUGAAAUCAUAUGUAGACAUCUUAGUUGAUAGUCAACCAGAACCCACCAGUAAGGCAUUCAGCUUGGUCAUACCUGUGCGGUACAGAUGGCUACAUAUGUUGACUGUCACCCUAGUAAUACGUUAAAAUAUAAAUAUAUAUACAUAUAUUCAAAUAUCAAAUAUGUAUUAUAUUUUGACUUAUGAACUUAUUUAUUAUUUUACUAACCUGGACUUAUUAACCAGAAGAAUUACUUACAUACCGAAAGCUCUUUUUUAAAUAUCCUAUAACAUUUUUCCCCCAAAACUGAAUACAUAAUUUGGAAAACUCUCUGUGAAGGAAACAAUUAAUAUUUUGUUUUGUAUUCAUAAAACUGGAGUUAUUUUAUUUCAUAGAAUGUAGCAAUAACUUACACUUUCCACUUCAAAUUUUGAAAAUUUUAUUUGUAGUAAUAUUUUACCUACAUCUAAAACAGGUGGUAUAUGUAAUUUAUGUUUUGAAUGGACAAAUAACGUUUUCUGAAAAAGUUGUAAGAUGUCUUUGUUUUAGCUGAGUCAUAAUUUUUCCUCUUUCAUAGUCCCAUAAAAAUAUGUUUUCGCAAUAUGGCUAAAUAAUGAAAUUGAUUUAAAGCCAAGUUAGCACUCAAGACAAAAAUCAAACCUACUAAGUGUGUGACUUGCCCUACUUAAAAAGAAAUUGAGAGACAAUAAUAUGCAAUAUGUCUUUUUCAAAGUAAUUUCUCCAGGUUAGAUUUAUAGAGAAAUAUUCAUGGAGGUAAAUAUUCCUAUAAAAUAGAGAUGAUUUUGAAUGAAGUGAAAUUAUUUUUAAUUAAUAUCAUUGGUAAUUUGAAACAAAUGAUUUUUGUGUUACUUAAAACUUAAUUUUCUUCUAACAGGGAUUAAGCCAUUUAUCAGAACCAUGGUGUCAAAUACUGAUUUGCAGAAAUACUUUUCAGUGAAAUUUAAGACUAUGUGGUAUUUGAAACCAUCCAGUUCAUUUAACUUGCUUAAACAAUGUUCACUUUAUACAAGUUCCCUUUGAUAUAAUCAUUCAAGGGAACAUUUUCAUAUCUAUGUACGUAUAUGUGUGUCUUUUU